Molecule: ribosomal RNA, 311 nt
Filed under: uncultured Prevotella sp.
Lineage: Bacteria; Pseudomonadati; Bacteroidota; Bacteroidia; Bacteroidales; Prevotellaceae
Description: bacterial SSU rRNA
Rfam family: Bacterial small subunit ribosomal RNA
Source: RNAcentral
UGAGGAAUAUUGGUCAAUGGGCGCAAGCCUGAACCAGCCAAGUAGCGUGCAGGAUGACGGCCCUAUGGGUUGUAAACUGCUUUUAUACGGGAAUAAAGGGCUUCACGUGUGAAGUUUUGCAUGUACUGUAUGAAUAAGGACCGGCUAAUUCCGUGCCAGCAGCCGCGGUAAUACGGAAGGUCCGGGCGUUAUCCGGAUUUAUUGGGUUUAAAGGGAGCGUAGGCCGCCUUUUAAGCGUGUUGUGAAAUGCAGUUGCCCAACAUCUGCACUGCAGCGCGAACUGGAGGGCUUGAGUUCACGGAAAGUUGGCG